Molecule: ribosomal RNA, 394 nt
Filed under: Vibrio parahaemolyticus
Lineage: Bacteria; Pseudomonadati; Pseudomonadota; Gammaproteobacteria; Vibrionales; Vibrionaceae
Description: bacterial SSU rRNA
Rfam family: Bacterial small subunit ribosomal RNA
Source: RNAcentral
CUGCCGGUGAUAAACCGGAGGAAGGUGGGGACGACGUCAAGUCAUCAUGGCCCUUACGAGUAGGGCUACACACGUGCUACAAUGGCGCAUACAGAGGGCAGCCAACUUGCGAAAGUGAGCGAAUCCCAAAAAGUGCGUCGUAGUCCGGAUUGGAGUCUGCAACUCGACUCCAUGAAGUCGGAAUCGCUAGUAAUCGUGGAUCAGAAUGCCACGGUGAAUACGUUCCCGGGCCUUGUACACACCGCCCGUCACACCAUGGGAGUGGGCUGCAAAAGAAGUAGGUAGUUUAACCUUCGGGGGGACGCUUACCACUUUGUGGUUCAUGACUGGGGUGAAGUCGUAACAAGGUAGCGCUAGGGGAACCUGGCGCUGGAUCACCUCCUUAAACGAUGAU